Molecule: ribosomal RNA, 326 nt
Filed under: uncultured eukaryote
Lineage: Eukaryota
Description: partial 18S ribosomal RNA
Rfam family: Eukaryotic small subunit ribosomal RNA
Source: RNAcentral
CCCUUAGAUGUUCUGGGCCGCACGCGCGCUACACUGACUGACUCAACGAGUUUACAACCUGUGCCGAAAGGUAUGGGUAAUCUUUUGAAAUUCAGUCGUGAUGGGGCUAGAUUAUUGCAACUAUUAAUCUUCAACGAGGAAUGCCUAGUAAGCGCGAAUCAUCAGUUCGCGUUGAUUACGUCCCUGCCCUUUGUACACACCGCCCGUCGCUCCUACCGAUUGAAUGGUCCGGUGAAUAAUUCGGACUGCGGCAUUGACCGGUUCCCGAUCGUUGCUGCGGAAAGUUUAGUGAACCUUAUCACUUAGAGGAAGGAGAAGUCGUAACA